Molecule: ribosomal RNA, 396 nt
Filed under: uncultured bacterium
Lineage: Bacteria
Description: bacterial SSU rRNA
Rfam family: Bacterial small subunit ribosomal RNA
Source: RNAcentral
AUUGAACGCUGGCGGAAUGCUUUACACAUGCAAAUCGAGCGGCAGCGCGGGGGCAACCCUGGCGGCGAGCGGCGAACGGGUGAGUAAUAUAUCGGAACGUACCCCGUCGUGGGGGAUAACACAGCGAAAGCUGUGCUAAUACCGCAUACGACCUGAGGGUGAAAGCGGGGGAUCGCAAGACCUCGCGCGAUGGGAGCGGCCGAUAUCGGAUUAGCUUGUUGGUGAGGUAAAGGCUCACCAAGGCGACGAUCCGUAGCUGGUCUGAGAGGACGACCAGCCACACUGGAACUGAGACACGGUCCAGACUCCUACGGGAGGCAGCAGUGGGGAAUUUUGGACAAUGGGGGCAACCCUGAUCCAGCCAUGCCGCGUGCGGGAAGAAGGCCUUCGGGUUGU